CAGUAGCCGCGGUAAUACGAAGGGUGCAAGCGUUACUCGGAAUUACUGGGCGUAAAGCGUGCGUAGGCGGCUUCUUAAGUCGGAUGUGAAAUCCCUGAGCUUAACUUAGGAAUUGCAUUCGAUACUGGGAAGCUAGAGUAUGGGAGAGGAUGGUAGAAUUCCAGGUGUAGCGGUGAAAUGCGUAGAGAUCUGGAGGAAUACCGAUGGCGAAGGCAGCCAUCUGGCCUAAUACUGACGCUGAGGUACGAAAGCAUGGGGAGCAAACAGGAUUAGAUACCCCAGUAGUCCCUGUCUCUUAUAC
This 301-nucleotide ribosomal RNA is filed under the name uncultured bacterium. RNAcentral's name for it is "partial 16S ribosomal RNA". It matches the Rfam family "Bacterial small subunit ribosomal RNA", at positions 509 to 807 of the family's 1533-position model. The record is from RNAcentral.